This 404-nucleotide ribosomal RNA is filed under the name Bacteroidota bacterium. Its description in RNAcentral is "Bacteroidetes bacterium partial 16S ribosomal RNA". It matches the Rfam family "Bacterial small subunit ribosomal RNA", at positions 355 to 776 of the family's 1533-position model. Lineage: Bacteria; Pseudomonadati; Bacteroidota. The record is from RNAcentral.
UAGGGAAUCUUCGGCAAUGGGGGAAACCCUGAUGCAGCGACGCCGCGUGAGCGAAGAAGGCCUUCGGGUCGUAAAGCUCUUUUAUGAGGGAAGAUAAUGACGGUACCUCAAGAAAAAGCCCCGGCUAACUACGUGCCAGCAGCCGCGGUAAUACGUAGGGGGCUAGCGUUGUCCGGAAUCACUGGGCGUAAAGGGUUCGCAGGCGGAAUAACAAGUCAGAUGUGAAAGGCAUGGGCUCAACCCAUGUAAGCAUUUGAAACUGUAAUUCUUGAGAAGUGGAGAGGUAAGUGGAAUUCCUAGUGUAGCGGUGAAAUGCGUAGAUAUUAGGAGGAAUACCUGUGGCGAAGGCGACUUACUGGACACAAAUCUGACGCUGAGGAACGAAAGCGUGGGUAGCAAACAGG